RNAcentral lists this transfer RNA (73 nucleotides) under Halobacteriales archaeon QS_4_70_19. Its description in RNAcentral is "tRNA-Gln". It matches the Rfam family "tRNA". Rfam says of the family: Transfer RNA (tRNA) molecules are approximately 80 nucleotides in length. Their secondary structure includes four short double-helical elements and three loops (D, anti-codon, and T loops). Further hydrogen bonds mediate the characteristic L-shaped molecular structure. tRNAs have two regions of fundamental functional importance: the anti-codon, which is responsible for specific mRNA codon recognition, and the 3' end, to which the tRNAs corresponding amino acid is attached (by aminoacyl-tRNA synthetases). tRNAs cope with the degeneracy of the genetic code in two manners: having more than one tRNA (with a specific anti-codon) for a particular amino acid; and 'wobble' base-pairing, i.e. permitting non-standard base-pairing at the 3rd anti-codon position. The record is from RNAcentral. Lineage: Archaea; Methanobacteriati; Methanobacteriota; Halobacteria; Halobacteriales.
AGCCCCGUGGUGUAGCGGCCAAUCAUAUGGGCCUUUGGAGCCUAGGACCCCAGUUCGAAUCUGGGCGGGGCUA